GUGGGGAAUAUUGCACAAUGGGGGAAACCCUGAUGCAGCGACGCCGCGUGGAGGAAGAAGGUCUUCGGAUUGUAAACUCCUGUUGUUGAGGAAGAUAAUGACGGUACUCAACAAGGAAGUGACGGCUAACUACGUGCCAGCAGCCGCGGUAAAACGUAGGUCACAAGCGUUGUCCGGAAUUACUGGGUGUAAAGGGAGCGCAGGCGGGAAGACAAGUUGGAAGUGAAAUCCAUGGGCUUAACCCAUGAACUGCUUUCAAAACUGUUUUUCUUGAGUAGUGCAGAGGUAGGCGGAAUUCCCGGUGUAGCGGUGGAAUGCGUAGAUAUCGGGAGGAACACCAGUGGCGAAGGCGGCCUACUGGGCACCAACUGACGCUGAGGCUCGAAAGUGUGGGUAGCAAACAGGAUUAGAAACCCCGGUAGUCC
RNAcentral lists this ribosomal RNA (425 nucleotides) under uncultured bacterium. RNAcentral's name for it is "partial 16S ribosomal RNA". It matches the Rfam family "Bacterial small subunit ribosomal RNA", at positions 354 to 796 of the family's 1533-position model. The record is from RNAcentral.